This 10155-nucleotide long non-coding RNA is filed under the name Homo sapiens (human). RNAcentral's name for it is "HSALNT0134793". The record is from RNAcentral. Lineage: Eukaryota; Metazoa; Chordata; Mammalia; Primates; Hominidae.
GUUUUAUUUCAUUCUAUUUUAGAAUAUUUCUAUUUUACAUCCAAGCAGUUCAUGCCCAUAGUUUAAAAAGUUUAAAAAGGUACUUUCCCUGCCCUUCCCACCUGACUAGCAACCAGGGCUCCCACCUGACUAGCAACCAGGGCACCCACCUGGAUGAAAGGCAGCCACUUCAACUCUUCCCUGCCUCCCCAUGGCAUUCUCACAUUGCUGUUCUUGACUUUUCACUUUUAGAUAGUGCUACAGUCUGAGUGGUUAUGUUCUCCUAAAAUUCAUAUGUCAGAACUCUAAUCCUUAAGAGAUGGUAUUAGGAGGUGGGGCCUUUGAGAGGUGGUUAGGUCAUGGGUUUGGAGCCCUCACGAGUGGGAUCAGCACCUUUAAAGAAAGCAUCUUUGGGAGGCCAAGGUGGGCAGAUCAUUUGAGGUCAGGAGUUUGAGGCCAGCCUGGCCAACAUGGUGAAACCCCAUCUCUACUAAAAAAAUACAAAAAUUAGCUGGGUGUGGUGGCACAUGCUUGUAAUCCCAGCUACUCGGGAGGCUGAGGUAGGAGAAUUGCUUGAACCUGGGAGGUGGAGGCUGCAGUGAGCCGAGAUCGCACCAUCCCACUCCAGCCUAGGCGACAGAGUGAGACUCUGUCUCAAAACAAACAAACAAACAAAAAAAAACCCAAGGGAGACCCCUCACUCCUUCUACCAUGUGAGGUCACAGCAAGAAGGCGCCAUCUACAAAUCAGAAGGCAGGCUCUCACCAGACAACAAAUCUGCCAGUGCUUUGAUCUUACACUCCCCCCUCCAAGAACUGGGAGAAGGAGAUUUCUGUUGCCUAUAAGCCACACUGUGUACAGGAUUUUGCUACAGUAGCCCAGGUGAACUAAGACAGAUAGUAUCUAUUAACUCUAUCCUAUAGAAAUUGAGGAUUUCACUUCCUCAUAUACCUCCAUACUGCCUGGCACAGACAUACACAUGGACACACACAUGCACACACACGUGUGCACACAUAUGUGGACACACACAUUCACGCGCUCUCAUUUUCUCUAAUGAUGUGAUAAACUAGGGCUGUAUCAGCAUCUAGAGGUUGCCUUACUAUGCCUGUGUGACCAUAUUAACAUUCUCAGCUGAUUUAUAUAACAUUUGUUUUCUUACUCAACUGUUUUUAUUUGUCCUAGAGUUAAUAAUUAUCUAUAUCUUUUUCUUGUUCACUUUCCUAUGUACUUAUCACAAUUGUAUCCUAAAACUCUGCCAGAAGUAGAAAUCUCCUUUCGAGGCAUUCAAACGUAUCUACUAUCAGUUUUAUUUUUAUCUUGGAGACAUCGUUCUAGAACCCUAGCCUCGCUGCUGGCCUUGUUGCCUUCUAGAGUCGCUGCUUCCUUUUUGUCAAUCUCAGGAUGAGAACAUGUUUGGGGGCCAUUAUUCUGCCUACCAUGAUGAAAUUUAUUCUGCUUUUAGCUAGACUGAAAUGUUCAAAUCAACCAACGACAUUUUUCUCCCAGUUCCCCCUCUCUUUGCCAACCAGUAACUCUUUGGAUAUGUAGCUACAAGAAUGCAGCCUUGUUUUCUGGGUCAGAAAGCACUUCCUCUCUCUUUUUAGGAGUCAGAAAUUCAUGUUCUCAUUUUACAGACAGAAAAAUAGAGGCCCAGAGAAUAUGAAUAUUUUGCUGAAAAUCCUAGAGAGCAAAGUUCAGUCUCAUUUCCAAGACUGAUCUUUGUCUUCCACAUGUGGCAUCCAUGACGUUGUUUUCCAGUUGUUCCUGGAUAAUGUGAUAGGCGAGUUACUACAUCAGCAUAAAGCAUUUCCACAUGAUUCCUUGUAGAAGUGCCACCAAAGCAUGUUUCCAGUGCAGAUGGUUAUUCUUCAUUUACCACUUUUACUUUCACAAUUUACUUUGUAAAAUGGGCAUUUUACUCCUAAAUAAGAGAGAAUCAUGUGGUCCUAUUACUUUUAUAGCCAUAAAUAUUGGAAGCCUGAAACAAAAUUUCCAUGUCUUCCACCCACCGCCUCCCUGCCUAGCUUUAGGCUGUGUCGGUGACAGCCAUGACAUCUCAGAAUGGAGCCUGUAGGGGCUGGGUCAGAGCCAUUUAUGGAACAAUGCUCUUCCCUUUGUUUUCAGCGAGCUAGUUGUAAACACAUUUCAGACCUCUUGCUUUCUCUCAAUUCUUCUGCAGUUCACGUUUGAGAUUGCGAGAUGCUAUUUCUUUUGACAACAAUAAAAGCUUCUCCGUUCAUGGUUGGGCCCCAGCUUUGACAGACUAGAAAUGCCACCCAUGUGGGCUCCACAGCUUCCUUACAAGGAAAAGAGUGAGCUGGGGUGACCUGCGCUAGUGAAACCGGCCCUUGGUCCUGAUAUCCAAAGCUCACCUGUCCUGCCUCCGGCUCUGGAAAUGUUUUGUCUUGUGUAUUUUUCAAGACAGUGAAAGAAGACACAGUUUCAUGUUCGAGAAACUGAAGUUCUCAGAGAUUCAGUAACUUGCCUGAAGUUACUAAUAAGUGGUCAAGCUGCAGUUUAAACCUAAACCCAUCGAAGUGCAUGUUGCUUCCAGCUGGGACACCCAGCCCACUUAGGGAUGGCUGGAAUCCUAAGUCCUUCUGUGUCAUAUCUGAGUGUCGACGGAAGUAGCAGAUGCCCAUCCUCAUGGUGAGAACCUUUUCAGACACGGGGUUGGUGACCUGUCCCCAAAGGUCAGUGCAGUGGUCCUGUGUGGGGUGCAGUGUAGGGUAGGGCUCAGCAGGCAAGGUCUUCAAGCCUGCACAGCCAGCCCCAAGCUCUGGAUCUCUGAUUAUUAUGGAAUUGGAUGGGAACAUGAUUCUAACAUAACCCAAGUGCCGAAAGAGAGCAAAUACUCAAAUGGGAAAGCACUGAUGAAUGAAGGUGGAGCUUACCCAAGUUCAAAUAGCUUAACAUUUGCAGGAUUCUCAUAGGAUCUUUACCCUAUGGCUUUUUCCCCCCAGAAAUUUCAAGAAAGGACCAUUAUUAGUGAUGGGAGGAAGGCACCUUGAUACUACUUUCUAACAUCCUUAAAGAAAAACCCCUGGAUGUUCUGAUAUAUUUAAGAAGAAAUAAGAGAUAGGAAGAUAAAUCAGAAGUCCAAAACCCUAGAGUUCUAAGGCCUGCUCUUUCAUUAACUAACUAUAUGACUGGUGGCAACUCAUGCUCCAUGCCUCAGUUUACCCAUAUUUAAAAUAAAAGAUUUGGGCUGGAUCAUUUUUGGUAAAUGCUCAAACUUUAAAAUAUUAUAAGCCAAUAAUGGAACAAAACUAAGUUUCUUCUGAUAAAUGUGUUUCUUUCUCCUGGGCUCCUUCUUCUGUCCUGUAAAAACUGCCCUGACCACCUCCUUUCAAAAGAGUAUUUCCUGUGCUGUGGUGAAACCUCUGUCUUCUUUUCCAAGGCCACAUGCUUCUGCCCACACUAACUUCCCAAGCACUUUCAGGCAUCAGUUCAUUUUCCUCAUAUCACCUACCACAACUUGUCAUUAUAUAUUUAUAGAUUUGUUUGUUUUAUAGAGACUGUUUCUCCUAUGAGAUUGCAAGUUCCAUGAGAACAGCUACUAUGCCUGCUUUGUUUACCAACGCAUAUUCACUGUCCAGCAUUGUGUGUGGAACAUAAAAGGCUCUUGGUUAAUGCCUGCUGAAUAAAUGAAUCUGUCAUCUUCCCUUUUUUGAUCAUUAUCAUAGGUAUCAUUUGUUAAGGGCUUACUAGGGAUCAGACAUUGAGCUGAUGCUUUGCAUGUAUUACCUCAUGAACACAUCACAACAACCUCACCUGGCAGGUUGCAUCUGUUUUGCAGAUGAAGUCACUGAGGAUCCAAGAGGUCAUGGAGCAAAUGCACUCUAGAACCUGGAUCCAAACCACAGCUGACUCACUCAGAGUCUAAGUACUGAGCCCUUGCAAAGUACUACCUUGGGUCCUCAGUGACUCUGAGCAUUAGGUCGGACAUGUAGUAGGUUCUCAGGAUAUGUGUACUGAAUUGAGUCUCUGUGUGAUGGAGCUAACAGAUGGUAAAUGGAGGUCAGUAUUUAUGACCCAUGGGGCUGAUAAUCUGAAGCUUCAAUGCCUGAGGUGGAUUCUGAAAUCUGGAGCAAGGAUUGGUAGAGUAGAAAAUCUCUUUCUAACAAUGAGAUUCAUUCUUGUGUGCGUGGAGAGUUUAACAGAGCUCCUUUCUUCCACCGUAUGAGGGUGUGACUUCAAAUUUUUCUUGAAAUGCACAUUUUUAAUUAGAAGAUUUUAUGUGGGUUGCCAAGCUUCUGAGAACUAAAAGGACACUUGUGCCUCGGGGACACUUACAGAGACUGGUCCCUCGGUAAGUGCAUAAUAAAAAAUACACAGAGAGCAACUGAAAUUAAACCCACAGGGAACCCAUUGCACUUGGUUUCAAAUACCUAAAGACUUGACAGCUACAGAAUAAAGAGAAAGAACAGAAACAAAAGUCAAUGCCAAUUUGCUUAAUUUGGGGUUCUUUUUCCUGAGAGUAUCUUUCUGAGAAUCUAGAGUUGGCAGAAAUGUUGGAGACUGUCAGGUCUAAGACCCCCUCCUGCAGAUGGGAGACUGAGGCCCGAAGAAGUUGUGGCAAGGUCAAAGCAAGGUCAAACCAAGUGAGCUAUGGGUCAGAAAGAAGAGAAGGCAUCACUGUGUGCUACAGCAGGGCCCUAGGAGAAAUUUGCUGGUGGUGAGGAAGAUGGGGAUUGGUGGGGAUUGCAAGAGUAGGGGGUGGGGCGGACAGCUCUCUAGCAAUAUGGCUUCUGCUCUGUUCAAAGCGAAAUUAGAAAUUGUUCAAACAGAAAAUGAGUAUGUCAAGAAAAUCACAUGUCAAGGAAUAUAGAGUCACUUAUUAGUGUUUGUCUCCAGAACAUAAUCUAACGGACUGUAGGAGAAAUCCCAGAUUCUCUUGGGCUCCUUUGCUGCCUCAAGCUCUCUUAUACUUGAAUCCCCCACCCUUAGACACAUUGCUGUCCCUUAAACUUGAGAGUAGCGCCAAUAAAUCUCCAAAUAGCCUGGACUGAACUGGAAUCAGAAUAAUAUUAAUGCACUUAAGGAAAGAAUGGGUCAUUGAAAAGGUGAGGGGUAGUAUCUUAGAAUAUAUAAUUCAAAGGGGAGAAUAGCCUGGUACAUUCAGCACUGCCCAGGUGAAAGGAAUACAGUAUGUGAAGGACGCUAGUAGCUCUAAUCACCAGAGGUAUAGGGUAGGAUGUAGAAGUAUUUCACAGGGAAUUUUAAUAAAAUGUUUCUCCAAGCUGGAUCUGAUUCCAUGGUUGCAAGUAAUCUUCAUAAACUUCAAUGACCAGGCCAGGUGUGGUGGCUCACACUGGUAAUCCUAGUAUUUUGGAAGGCCAAAGUGGGAGGAUCACUUGAGGUAAGGAGUUGAAGACCAGCCUCGGCAACAUAGAGAGAGCUCAUCUCUACAAAAAUUUUUUUUUAAUUAGCCAGGUGUGAUGGUACGUGCCCAUAGUCCUAGCUACUAAAGAGACUGAGGCAGGAGGACCCCCUCAAGCCCAGAAGUGAGCUACAGUGAGUUAUGAUCGUGCCACUGCACUCCAGCCUGGGUGACAGAGCGAGACCUUGUCACUAAAACAUUUAAAAAACAAAACACAACAAAACUUCAACAAUUGAUGACCUGGUGUGUGUUAUUUUUAAAAUCUUGAUUUUAAAGCUUGAUUCUAGGAAUGGGGUAUGAGCAUGUACACAGGACUGCUGAGAGCUGGUUUGAGCACAGUGAAGAAAUGAGACUUGGAGCCCCAUCAAAGGCAGACAGCUAGAAAUCUUCACAGGGGAUUUAUGCUCAAGUCCAAGUCUCCUUUCCACCCUGGCAGCUCCAGCAGCCUGUCCUUAGCUUCCACUUCCUGUGUAGUUCAUCAGCUCUGGAUGGACAUGAGUGGUCCUGUCACUGGGGAAAGAGAUCAUUCUUGCUAUAAAUACAUGGAUGGUGUGGCUUCAGUGUCCACCUCUGUGAAGUGAGUUGUUGAAACGAUAUCUUAGGAAGUCUAUGAACCUGUGAUAUGGUUUGGCUGUGCCCCCACCCAAACCCCAUCUUGAAUUCCCACGUGUGGUGGGAGGGACUCAGUGGGAGGUAAUUGAAUCAUGGGGGCAAGUCUUUCCUGUGCCGUUUUCAUGACAGCGAAUAAGUCUCACAAGAUCUGAUGGUUUUAAAAAGAAGAAUUCCCCUGCACAAGCUCCCUCUCGUUGCCUGCUGCCAUCCAUGUAAGAUGUGACUUGCUCUUCCUUGCAUCCACCAUGAUUGUGAGGCUUUCCCAGUCACGUGGAACUGUAAGUCCAGUUAAACCUCUUUCUUUUGUAAAUUGCCCAGUCUCGGGUAUGUCAGCAGUGUGAAAACAACGGACUAAUACAACCCAAUAGGGGAGGAUCUGAUCCCAAAGCCUGAUCAUGCUCUGAGGCAACAAGCCCCACUUUGGAGACACCUUAGCAGGCAGCCAUUCUUCACCAGGUGGCCCCAUUCUCCAUCGCCCAAGCACCGUCUUCUCAAUGCUGCCCCCUGCUGAUAGGCGUCUCUCACUCUGCAGUGCUGGGGUCCAUGGCUGGCCAUGACAGCAGGGUUUACCUGCCCUUGCCACUUGUUUUCACCUGACUGUGGUUAAGCCUCUUUACGUCCCUGAGUUUCUGUUGUUUCAUAUACACAGGAAAAAUGCUGCUUCAGAACCUUUCUCACAGCCCAAAUGAGAGCAUGUCUAGGAAAAGGUUUUAAAAGCAUCCAUCGUUUUACAGAUGUGAUAGGCUGGUAACAACUCCAUCAACACACAUUUCUAAAGAUGCUCCAUGUACACUCAUCAGUGUAAUGCAAAUCCCAUGAAGAUCCCCCUCUCCAGCCAUUUCCCUUGAAACAGACACCUUGGACACCUGUCCAAGACAGGUGGCCAGAUGCCAAGAGAUCUGAGGGUGACCUUAUUUUGUCCACCUUAGUGUUUUAUUACAAAAAAAGAAAAGUCUUGAUUUACUUCCAUUAAGAAACCAAGUCUUAUCUCCUAAACAUAAGUCCAUUUCUUCCUUGUUCUUUUUGGAAUACCGAAAAUGACCAUGAAGAAUCUAAUUCACAAAACAUCAUGCACUUGAAGACGAUCCUAAUGGUACCUUUCAGUUUGCUCAUCAGUAGACAAAUUAAAAUUAUCUCGAUUCCUAUAUAUCAUUCCCUACAUUUUACUGUGUCCCAUGUAUCAUUGUUUUUACUUCAUUAGCUAAAAAUUCAAAGCAUUAGAAACCAUUUUUACCUUUCUUUCUCCCUUCCUUCCUUCCUUCCUUUCUUUCUUUCUUUUCUUCCUUUCUUCCUUUCUUUUUCUUUUUUUGAAGACGGGGUCUCACUAUGUUGCCCAGACUAGUUUAGAACUCCACAUCUCAAGUCAUCCCUCCACCUCUAUCUCCCAAGUCGUUGGGAUUACAGGUGUGAACCACCAUGCCCAUGUCUGGACCAAUUUUUCUUUAAUACCAAACAGCACAAUUUGGGAAUCUCUGUUUUCUUACAACUCGUCUACUACCAGACCAUUUAACAGCUGUUCUGAACUAAAGCCUGGGAACCCCAAUAUAGAAAACUCAGCUGGAAUGGGGACCCAAAGAGAAGUCAAGUGAGUGAGUCACUUGACUUCUCUGGGACCCAAAGUCUUGUCAAGUUGGUUUCUCCCAUUGUCUGCUGCUCAGACACUGUCAUGUAAUCUGAGGUUUUUAAGGAGCAACUGGACAACCACAGAUCCUGCACAACCACGGAUCCAGGCCAACCCUAUCAUUUUGCAGAUGAAGCAACAGAAGCCCACAGGGACGAAGUGACCAGCUCAGAACCUCCAGCAGUCACUGGCCAGGCCAGGAAAAGAAUUCAGGUCUCCUGACUUCCAAAUAAGUGUCCUUUCCAUGGCAUAUGCAUAAGAUAUGGUUACAAUGGAAACUACUUUUUUUCUUAUCCCAUUAGCCAGAAAAGUUCAUCUAAGAAACAGGUGACUGAUGGGAAAGUUUGCCUACUGGAGGCAUGAGGAAAUCAAGUUACUUUAUUGUAAUUAGACAGUAGUUCUUUUCUUUGACUGAGAGGAGAGUGAAAAGUGCAAGGAGAAACAAGACAAAGAACGACUGCCUAGAAGUUACUCCAUUAUGGUUUGCUGCACUGUCCUAUCCACAAAGAUACUUGCCUGCCAUUCCUUGCCUGUGUGACUUCCAGUGAGUCACUUGACUUCUCUGGACCUUGGAAGCUCUUGUGCUCUCUGAGAGCACAGCAGAGGCCCUGUUCUGGCCAUUGGACAUCAUGAAGAUCUGUUGUCCUCCCCAGAUGGACACACCCUAGAUCAGCACCUUCUUUUCUUCCUUGUCUCAGUACUUCUUAUAGAGCCAGGAUAUCCUUAAUGUUUUGUGGGUUUUUUUUGGGGGGGGGGUGCGGGGGCGGGUGGGGAGGGUAGGUAUUUUGUGCAUUGAAUAAUUGUCUUCCCAGUUGGAUAUUUUUUGGGGGCUUUGACUGUGUCUUUUUGCUUCUUUUAACAUGUUUCUUGCUGGGUCUUGUCUCGCUUAUAAGGCAGGAACCCAGACCCCUGCAACGAGUCGCACUCUGGUAUUUCCAGAAGCCCUGGAUGGCUUUAUAUGUGCUCCCAUACAAUUAGUUCAGCCAUCUUUGUCUCUUAACACUGUUCCAGAACUCUCUGCGCAGACCAUGACAUCUUCCUGGCAUCACUGAUACUUCCACUGGGCACUGCUAUGCCCUCUUGUCACUGCCUUACCAGCUGCAGAAAAUGACUAUAGUUGCUCCCUUUAUUUUCUUUCUUUUUCUGAUGUGUGUGUAUUUCCAAUUUCCCCCCUCCCUUUCUGCUACUAUUUAUUUAGUCCCCAGGUGACUGGAUAGCUAGAUAGGAUUUUGACUGCACUGGAAAAGGAAUAAACACCACCCAGAGCUGGAAACACUGACCAUGAGACAUGGAGUCUUUCCUCCUGCGGGGAAGGGAUGGACAUUUUCAUUUGUAGAAGGGCUAGUUGUAUAAGGUAAGAGCAUGCUGCUGCUGUUAUCAUUUAAAAGUUUAAUUAUGGAAAGAAGCAUAUAUGUGGAUGUUAAAUAAUAAAAAAGGUGGAAUAUUGCUCACUCAACACCUAUCUCAAGCCUCUGAGCUUGCCUUUCUGAGCUACAGGAUAGAAAACUAAAAUUAGAUUUCCUAAUUCUUCUUCCAGCUAGGGAGCUUCCUUGAGAAAUGGUGUAGUACAAGUCCUGAAAUUAAGAUUAAAUAGCAUGGGGAGGCCUCAAAUGGCCUAAUCUCAAGUCCCUUGCCCACUCUGCUGUGGCAGAUAAGGUCCCCUAACCAAACAAGCCCUCCUUGUCAGGGAGACCAGGCCCAGUGUCUGCUUAUCCCUGAGUGGUGGGCUUCAGGCCCCUGCCAGCACACAGAAAUAUUCAGACAAGCCACAUGCAUCCUCUCGUGGGAAGCAGGCCUCACCUCACCCUCUGUUAUUGGAAAGACUGCCUCCCACAGACCCUGUUUGUUCAUUGUGCUCCCAAAUAGAAUCCCCAUAUGGCCCUGUACAGUAUGCACUGUCCUCCUCCCCUGGACAGUGAGUGUAUAUGACUAAUAAACUGAUGUUUAUUUCAUCUAUCCGGUGCUGGGUGUCAUAUGUUUGACCAUUCCUAUAACCCUAGAGGGCUAGGGAAACCCUCCCUCAACAAUUACCUGAAGAGGAAGUGAUUGAAAUACAUGGCUCUAGCAAAUAGGUGGUCUUGCAUGAGAUUUUGGGGCAGAAGUAAGAAACAUGGGAGUAGCAAUGUGGAGAGUACAGAGACAGAGGCAUCUGUUCUUCCAGGGGAGCCGUGGAGAAAAUGGUAGUUUUCACCAUGGAAUACUAUGCAGCCAUAAAAAGGAAUGAGAUUGUGUCCUCAGCAGGGACAUGGAUAAAGCUGGAAGCCAUUAUCCUCAGCAAACUAACACAGGAACAGAAAACCAAACACUGCAUGUUCCUGCUUACAAGUGGGAGCUGAAUGAAGAGAACACAUGGACACAGGGAGGGGAAAAACACAUAGUGGGGCCUGUUGAGGGGUGGGAGGGAGAGCAUCAGGAAGAAUAGCUAAUGGAUGCUGGGCUUGAUACCUAGGUGAUGGGUUGAUCUGUGUAGCAAACCACCGUGGCACACAUUUACCUGUGUAACAAACCUGCACAUCCUGCACAUGUACCCAGGAACUUAAAAUAAAAGUUGAGGAUAAAA